This is an RNA transcript of Mus musculus (house mouse), 4072 nucleotides long. It is a transcript of the gene named bromodomain containing 7, with no coding region annotated. The transcript has 17 exons. The record is from RefSeq and is marked validated. NCBI's taxonomy places the organism in Eukaryota, Metazoa, Chordata, Mammalia, Rodentia, Muridae.
UUGUUUUUGUUUUGUUUUGGUUUUUUUCUGUAUGCAUUUAUUUAUUUGUGCAAGAAUAUAUAUAAAUGUAAACAUUAGAGGACAACUUUCAGGAGUCGAUUCUCUCCUUCAUGUGGAACCUGGAGAGCGAACGGAGAUCGUUAGGCUUGGCAGGACCCAUAUUCUUGGGUCUGCCCGAUCCUGUACAGAUGGAGUUCAAUAAUAUUGCUAAAGACAAGAAACAAAAGCCAAGGAAAGUUAAAAGGAUUCAGGAAAGCAGGGAAGAGCGUCGGGGAUGGAAAAAGAAAGUCAAGACAGGCCCCGCCUCUGAGCCCGCCCCCCAGCCGCAGCCCCGCCCUCCACCACAGGCUGCAGCGCCGCCUCCGGCCGCCAGGGGCCGCCACGCGCCGCAGACCGCAUCCCGUCCGCUCGGCGGCCUCUCUUUCCCGCUGGUUUGCCGGCCUCUCGCCCUCUCGCCACUGGUGUCGCGCUUCGGUCGCGUCCCGCGCGUGGUUUUUUUUUUUUCUCGUGAGGGACCUCGCGCCGCCGGGCGCGUGCCGUCCCCCUGCCUCGCGGCGCGGGCUCUCGCGGGCCCCGCUCCCGCCCUCCGCUCGCCUGGCCCGGACCGGAAGCGGCGCCGCACGGCCUGGGCCUGGCGCGGGGGGCGGGCUCUGGGGCCCGGUCGGACAUGGGCAAGAAGCACAAGAAGCACAAGUCGGACCGCCACUUCUACGAGGAGUACGUGGAGAAGCCCCUGAAGCUGGUCCUCAAAGUCGGGGGGAGCGAGGUCACCGAGCUCUCCACGGGCAGCUCCGGGCACGACUCCAGCCUCUUCGAAGACAGAAGCGACCAUGACAAACACAAGGACAGAAAACGGAAAAAGAGGAAGAAAGGCGAGAAGCAGGCUCCGGGGGAAGAGAAGGGGAGAAAACGGAGAAGAGUCAAGGAGGAUAAAAAGAAGCGGGAUCGAGACCGUGCAGAGAAUGAGGUGGACAGAGAUCUCCAGUGUCAUGUCCCUAUAAGAUUAGACUUACCUCCUGAGAAGCCUCUUACAAGCUCGUUAGCCAAACAAGAAGAAGUAGAACAGACACCCCUUCAGGAAGCUUUGAAUCAGCUCAUGAGACAAUUGCAAAGAAAAGACCCAAGUGCUUUCUUUUCAUUUCCUGUGACGGAUUUUAUUGCGCCUGGCUACUCCAUGAUUAUUAAACACCCAAUGGAUUUUAGUACCAUGAAAGAAAAGAUCAAGAAUAACGACUACCAGUCCAUAGAAGAACUAAAGGAUAACUUCAAGCUAAUGUGUACUAAUGCAAUGAUUUACAAUAAGCCAGAGACCAUUUAUUAUAAAGCUGCAAAGAAGCUGUUGCACUCAGGGAUGAAAAUUCUCAGUCAGGAGAGAAUUCAGAGCCUGAAGCAGAGUAUAGACUUCAUGUCAGACUUGCAGAAAACUCGGAAGCAGAAAGAACGAACAGAUGCCUGUCAGAGUGGGGAGGACAGCGGCUGCUGGCAGCGCGAGAGGGAAGACUCUGGAGAUGCUGAAACACAGGCCUUCAGAAGCCCCGCUAAGGACAAUAAAAGGAAAGACAAAGAUGUGCUUGAAGACAAAUGGAGAAGCAGCAACUCAGAAAGGGAGCAUGAGCAGAUUGAGCGCGUUGUCCAGGAGUCAGGAGGCAAGCUAACACGGCGGCUGGCAAACAGUCAGUGUGAAUUUGAAAGAAGAAAACCAGAUGGGACAACAACACUGGGGCUUCUCCAUCCUGUGGAUCCCAUUGUGGGAGAGCCAGGCUACUGCCCUGUGAGAUUGGGGAUGACAACUGGAAGACUGCAGUCUGGAGUGAACACUCUGCAGGGGUUCAAAGAGGAUAAAAGGAACAGAGUAACCCCAGUAUUAUACUUGAAUUAUGGACCCUACAGUUCUUAUGCCCCACAUUAUGACUCUACAUUUGCCAAUAUUAGCAAAGAUGAUUCUGAUUUAAUCUACUCAACAUAUGGGGAAGACUCUGACCUUCCAAACAAUUUCAGUCAUCUCCUGAAGAUGAAGGCCAGACCAGAGCAUUGGACACAGCAAAAGAAGCAGAGCAGAUUACACAAAUAGAGCCAACAGGGCGUUUGGAGUCCAGCAGUCAGGACAGGCUCACAGCACUGCAAGCUGUAACAACCUUUGGUGCUCCAGCUGAAGUCUUUGACUCCGAAGAGGCUGAGGUGUUCCAGAGGAAGCUUGAUGAGACGACAAGAUUGCUCAGGGAGCUCCAGGAGGCACAGAAUGAGCGACUGAGCACUAGGCCUCCUCCCAAUAUGAUCUGUCUCCUGGGUCCUUCUUACAGAGAAAUGUACCUUGCUGAACAAGUGACCAAUAACCUCAAAGAACUCACACAGCAAGUGACUCCAGGUGAUGUUGUAAGCAUACACGGAGUGCGAAAAGCAAUGGGGAUUUCUGUUCCUUCCCCCAUCGUGGGAAACAGCUUCGUAGAUUUGACAGGAGAGUGUGAAGAACCUAAGGAGACCAGCACUGCUGAGUGUGGGCCUGACGCGAGCUGAACUAGCCUGUUACUUUGGAGCAAUUGCAAAUGGAUGAACCAAGUAAGAUGAGCCAAGUCACCCUUAGACACAUCAGAGUCUAGAGUUAGUGGAGAGCUUGCUCCUGCUCAGUUUUCCAAAGGCCACCUGUGUUUCAUUUGUGCCCCCAAAUCAUUUCCCUGUUCUGAAAUACACAGGUCAAGUGACUGAGCACAUUAGGUAGGAGACCAUCGGAUAUGUACCCUUAUAUCACACUCAGUCACUGGACUGAGAUAAAUAAUAGUUUUUCCAAAUAUAACCUCUUUAAGAGGCAAGCUGGGUAUGGUAGGUUGCAUUUAUAAUCCCAGUAUUUGAGUGGCUGAGAGAGGAGGAUUGCCAUGAAUUUGAGUCCAGCUGGGCUAUGAGACCAUGCCUCAAAAAAAAAAAAAAAAAAAAAAAAAAAAAAAAAAAAAAAAAAAAAAAAGGUGAGGAUGAGAGUGCAGGAGAGAUAGCCCAUCAGUUAAGAGAACAUACUGCGCUUGCAGAGGACUGGAGUUGAGUUCUCCACACCCACAUUGCUCAAAACCACCUAUAAGUUACAAUUCAGGGAACCUCGUACCUCUGGCCGCCUCUGCAAGCACUGGUACUGUGUGCACAUAGCCACAUGAACACACAUGAUUUUAAAAUAAGUAUGUCAGUAUAGAUAGAACCUAGUUUAGCAAACAGAUGUCUCACCCUUUUACAGAGCCUGUCUGCAAGACGUCUAGACAGGCAUACCUAUUUUCUUGAUUUGAAAUUAAUAUUAAGCAAGAACAGUAAAGAAAACUUGUUUCUCUCCAUAAAUUACAGGGUGGUCCUUUUGUAGACAGGUAUGCUAAUAAAAUACAUCAAUUCAAGUGUGUUUAUGUAAGUUUUUUUAGAUUCUGAUUUUAGUCUCUACAGUUUAAGGGCUGAGUGGUGUAGGUCUGUUGAUAGAGUACUUGGCCAGAAUUCAUGAAGCCUGGAGUCUAAUCCUCUGCACCAUACAAACUGGCCAUGGAGGGGUGGGGGUGAGGGGUGUCAGUGGCUGAAGUGCUUAUGCAAACCUGACAGCCUGAGUUUGGAUCACCAGAACCCAAGUACAAAGCUGGAUGUGGUAGCAUACGUGUCUAUAAUCUCUGCACCCUAUAGAAAGGUGGGAGGUAGAGACCUGGAAAUUCAUAGGGCAGCUAGCUCGAAGUUAACAGAAGCGAGAAACCCUGUCUCAAAGUAGGAGUGAGGACUGACACCCAAGAUUGUCUUCUGAUCUCUACACAAGCAGGCCUGCACGCACAUGAACAUGCGCACACACAAGGAAACUGGCUAUAAUGGCACAUGUCUGUAAUCCUAGCAUUCUAGAAAUGGAGACAGGAAGAUUGGGAGUUGAAGAUUUGAGGACAGCCUGGGUUAUAUGAGACCCUGUUCAGAUAUUUAACCCAUUCUUCACCAGUAGAUCUAUUUGGCACAAGUCAGUUCCUGAAGACCCAGAUAUACUUUCAUUCAAAACACCUUAGGACAUUCAGAUGUUUUAAUUGUUGGUUGAACAUAUAAAAAGGAGCCAGGCACUGAUGAUUUAUGAAAA